Molecule: non-coding RNA, 586 nt
Organism: Myodes glareolus (Bank vole)
Lineage: Eukaryota; Metazoa; Chordata; Mammalia; Rodentia; Cricetidae
Source: RefSeq, a predicted model, not a curated record
GAGCAGGAUGACCUGAGUUCGGAUCCUGGUACCUAUGUAAAAGCAGAUGCAGCAGCACAUGCCUGUGACCCCAGCAUUGGCGUGUGACAAAGUGUCCUAGUCAGCUUCAGCUGUCGAGUUGAUGCAGCCGAGAGUCAUCAGAAGGGAGUCUCACUGGAGGGAUUACCCAGCUGGUUCCAGAAUUCUUCUCGGGAACAGAAAGGUGACAAGCCAUGUGGAGCAGGGAGUGCCUGAAGUUGAUGUGAAGGCCCCAAGGUGAAAAUCUAGAAACUGGGACCUAAAAAGAGGAGAAAAAUCAGAGUCGUGGAAGAAAGAUUGGAACGGGAGCCCUGUCUGCCUAUCACCAGAUUAGAGACCGCGUCAGGCUGAAACUUGAUUUGUUACCCAUGUGAACAAAUCAGUCAGCAGCUCCCGUUCUCAUGAGAACACCCUAAUUCUUCCAGGAAAGAGCGGAAGACUGUGCUCAUGAGUCACACAGCAAUGCUCUCAUUCCAGCACCACCGCCAUCUGAAUGGGGAAAGGGUCAUCUUCAGGGAGGCCAGCAUGUCCGCACUUGCUACAGUCGAAGUAUCCUUGUUAAUAAAUA